This 91-nucleotide transfer RNA is filed under the name Devosia nitrariae. RNAcentral describes it as "tRNA-Pyl". The record is from RNAcentral. Lineage: Bacteria; Pseudomonadati; Pseudomonadota; Alphaproteobacteria; Hyphomicrobiales; Devosiaceae.
UGGCUCGGCGGCGUGAUCUUCAAGCGCUGAGGCGCUCUAACCGCCUACAAGCCGCUUCGAGCUGACCGUGUAGAGCCGGUCCCGUCCCAUC